CCUACGGGAGGCAGCAGUAGGGAAUCUUUCACAAUGGGCGAAAGCCUGAUGGAGCAACGCCGCGUGCAGGAUGAAGGCCUUCGGGUUGUAAACUGCUUUUAUAAGCGAGAAAUAUGAUGGUAACUUAUGAAUAAGGAUCGGCUAACUACGUGCCAGCAGCCGCGGUCAUACGUAGGAUCCGAGCAUUAUCCGGAGUGACUGGGUGUAAAGAGUUGCGUAGGUGGCAUAAUAAGUAGCUAGUGAAAGCUGGUGGCUCAACCAUUCAGACUAUUAGCUAAACUGUUAAGCUCGAGACCGUUAGGGGUAACUGGAAUUUCUAGUGUAGGAGUGAAAUCCGUAGAUAUUAGAAGGAACACCAAUAGCGUAGGCAGGUUGCUGGGACGGUUCUGACACUAAGGCACGAAAGCGUAGGGAGCAAACGGGAUUAGAUACCCCUGUAGUC
RNAcentral lists this ribosomal RNA (442 nucleotides) under uncultured bacterium. RNAcentral's name for it is "partial 16S ribosomal RNA". It matches the Rfam family "Bacterial small subunit ribosomal RNA", at positions 338 to 795 of the family's 1533-position model. The record is from RNAcentral.